AGCAGAAUAAUUGUUACUACACGCAUUACCAGUGUAGCUAAGUCAUGCUGUUCUAACUCAGGUGAUCAGCUCUAUAAAAUGCUACCUCUGAAUGAUGUUGAUUCUCAAAGGUUGUUCUUUAAGAGAAUUUUCAACUCCGACUACUCAUGUCCUCCUCAACUACAAAAGGUUUCAGUCAGGAUCUUAAUAAAAUGUGGUGGUCUUCCAUUGGCUAUAAUUACCAUUGCAAGUUUGCUAGCCAAUAAACCUCAGAACGCAGAUGAAUGGGAGAGACUCCGAGAUUCCAUUGGUACUGGUCUUUCAUAUGAGAGUGAUGAUGACGGAAAAUGUAUGAGACAUAUAUUGUUACUUAGUUAUUGGGAUCUUCCACACCACUUGAAAACUUGUUUGUUGUACUUAUAUAUAUAUCCAGAGGACGAGUAUAUCUCGUGUGAACAACUAAAAUUGAAAUGGAUAGCCGAAGGAUUCAUU
Molecule: ribosomal RNA, 471 nt
Filed under: Triticum aestivum (bread wheat)
Lineage: Eukaryota; Viridiplantae; Streptophyta; Magnoliopsida; Poales; Poaceae
Description: partial small subunit ribosomal RNA
Source: RNAcentral